Molecule: small nucleolar RNA, 135 nt
Organism: Suncus etruscus (white-toothed pygmy shrew)
Lineage: Eukaryota; Metazoa; Chordata; Mammalia; Eulipotyphla; Soricidae
Product: small nucleolar RNA SNORA48
Exons: 1
Source: RefSeq, a predicted model, not a curated record
GGUCCCUGUGCUUGAUAGAGGGGCAUGUGGCUAGUGGUGCCCAUCUCAGAGCAGCCAGGGGUAGAGCAAUUCCUUGUUCAUCCCAGCAUUGCUUUUGGUCUAUGCUCUUGCUUGGUUCAUGCCCUGGAUAUAUAU